CGCCUUGCCAGCCGCUCAGAACUUAAAGGAAUUGACGGGGCCGCACAAGCGUGGAGCAUGUGGUUAAUUCGAUGAUACGCGAGGAACCUUACCUGGGCUCAAAUGUAUGUUGACGUAUUCUGAAAGGGAUACUUCUUCGGACAAUAUACAAGGUGCUGCAUGGUUGUCGUCAGCUCGUGCCGUGAGGUGUCGGGUUAAGUCCCAUAACGAGCGCAACCCCUACCUUUAGUUGCCAUCAGGUAAUGCUGGGGACUCUAAAGGAACUGCCUACGCAAGUAGUGAGGAAGGCGGGGAUGACGUCAAAUCAGCACGGCCCUUACGUCCAGGGCUACACACGUGCUACAAUGGCCGAUACAGAGGGCAGCUACCUGGUGACAGGAUGCAAAUCUCCAAAGUCGGUCUCAGUUCGGAUCGGAGUCUGCAACCCGACUCCGUGAAGUUGGAUUCGCUAGUAAUCGCGCAUCAGCCAUGGCGCGGUGAAUACGUUCCCGGGCCUU
This 497-nucleotide ribosomal RNA is filed under the name uncultured Sphingobacteriales bacterium. Its description in RNAcentral is "bacterial SSU rRNA". It matches the Rfam family "Bacterial small subunit ribosomal RNA", at positions 903 to 1382 of the family's 1533-position model. Lineage: Bacteria; Pseudomonadati; Bacteroidota; Sphingobacteriia; Sphingobacteriales. The record is from RNAcentral.